This 668-nucleotide ribosomal RNA is filed under the name Bacillus sp. JC27. RNAcentral's name for it is "bacterial SSU rRNA". It matches the Rfam family "Bacterial small subunit ribosomal RNA", at positions 41 to 691 of the family's 1533-position model. Lineage: Bacteria; Bacillati; Bacillota; Bacilli; Caryophanales; Bacillaceae. The record is from RNAcentral.
GGCGUGCCUAUACAUGCAAGUCGAGCGGACCGACGGGAGCUUGCUCCCUUAGGUCAGCGGCGGACGGGUGAGUAACACGUGGGUAACCUGCCUGUAAGACUGGGAUAACUCCGGGAACCGGGGCUAAUACCGGAUGCUUGAUUGAACCGCAUGGUUCAAUCAUAAAAGGUGGCUUUUAGCUACCACUUACAGAUGGACCCGCGGCGCAUUAGCUAGUUGGUGAGGUAACGGCUCACCAAGGCGACGAUGCGUAGCCGACCUGAGAGGGUGAUCGGCCACACUGGGACUGAGACACGGCCCAGACUCCUACGGGAGGCAGCAGUAGGGAAUCUUCCGCAAUGGACGAAAGUCUGACGGAGCAACGCCGCGUGAGUGAUGAAGGUUUUCGGAUCGUAAAACUCUGUUGUUAGGGAAGAACAAGUACCGUUCGAAUAGGGCGGCACCUUGACGGUACCUAACCAGAAAGCCACGGCUAACUACGUGCCAGCAGCCGCGGUAAUACGUAGGUGGCAAGCGUUGUCCGGAAUUAUUGGGCGUAAAGCGCGCGCAGGCGGUUUCUUAAGUCUGAUGUGAAAGCCCCCGGCUCAACCGGGGAGGGUCAUUGGAAACUGGGGGAACUUGAGUGCAGAAGAGGAGAGUGGAAUUCCACGUGUAGCGGUGAAAUGCGU